CUGCCCUCAAGCACGGCUUGUGUGUUGGGCCCCGUCCUCCCCCUCCCGGGGGGACGGGCCCGAAAGGCAGCGGCGGCACCGCGUCCGGUCCUCGAGCGUAUGGGGCUUUGUCACCCGCUCUGUAGGCCCGGCCGGCGCCGGCCAACCCCCCAACCUUCUUCUUCA
This 165-nucleotide unclassified non-coding RNA is filed under the name uncultured Aspergillaceae. RNAcentral's name for it is "sequence contains ITS2". The record is from RNAcentral. Lineage: Eukaryota; Fungi; Ascomycota; Eurotiomycetes; Eurotiales; Aspergillaceae.